RNAcentral lists this unclassified non-coding RNA (755 nucleotides) under Hevea brasiliensis (rubber tree). The record is from RNAcentral. Lineage: Eukaryota; Viridiplantae; Streptophyta; Magnoliopsida; Malpighiales; Euphorbiaceae.
UUUGUGAAAACCCUUACUGGGAAGACCAUCACUCUAGAGGUGGAAAGUUCAGACACUAUUGACAACGUGAAAGCCAAGAUUCAGGAUAAGGAAGGGAUCCCACCUGACCAGCAGAGGCUCAUCUUUGCUGGAAAGCAACUUGAGGAUGGCCGUACACUGGCCGAUUACAACAUCCAGAAGGAAUCCACUCUUCACUUGGUGCUUCGUUUGAGGGGUGGCAUGCAGAUUUUUGUGAAGACUCUCACUGGCAAGACAAUCACACUGGAAGUUGAGAUUUCAGACACCAUUGACAAUGUGAAAGCUAAGAUUGAGGAUAAGGAAGGCAUACCCCCUGACCAGCAGAGGUUGAUCUUUGCUGGCAAACAGCUUGAGGAUGGUCGCACCCUUGCCGACUACAACAUCCAGGAAGAGUCCACCCUCCACUUGGUUCUCCGACUUCGUGGUGGGAUGCAAAUCUUUGUUAAGACUCUCACCGGGGACACUAUUGACAAUGUGAAAGCUAAGAUCCAGGAUAAGGAGGGCAUCCCUCCAGACCAGCAGAGGUUGAUCUUUGCAGGCAAACAGCUUGAGGAUGGUCGAACACUUGCUGACUCCAGAAAGAGUCCACUCUCCACUUGGUGCUCCGACUCCGUGGUGGCAUGCAGAUUUUUGUCAAGACACUCACUGGAAAGACCAUCACAUUGGAGGUUGAGAGCUCGGAUACAAUUGACAAUGUCAAGUCCAAGAUACAAGACAAGGAAGGGAUUCCCCCAGAC